AGAACGAACGCUGGCGGCAUGCCUAACACAUGCAAGUCGAACGCCUGUAGCAAUACAGGAGUGGCGGACGGGUGAGUAACGCGUGGGAACCUGCCCAACAGUACGGAAUAACCAAGGGAAACUUUGGCUAAUACCGCAUACGCCCUUCGGGGAAAGAUUUAUCGCUGAUGGAUGGGCCCGCGUAGGAUUAGCUAGUUGGUGAGGUAAUGGUUCACCAAGGCUACGAUCCUUAGCUGGUCUGAGAGGACAACCAGCCACACUGGGACUGAGACACGGCCCAGACUCCUACGGGAGGCAGCAGUGGGGAAGUCUUGCACAAUGGGCGAAAGCCUGAUGCAGCGACGCCGCGUGGGGGAUGAAGCUUUUCGGGAGUGGUAAACCCCUUUCGACCCGGACGAAUGCCUCGCAAGAGGACUGACGGUACGGGUAUAGAAGCCCCGGCUAACUACGUGCCAGCAGCCGC
RNAcentral lists this ribosomal RNA (463 nucleotides) under uncultured bacterium. Its description in RNAcentral is "SSU rRNA". It matches the Rfam family "Bacterial small subunit ribosomal RNA", at positions 26 to 518 of the family's 1533-position model. The record is from RNAcentral.